This is a long non-coding RNA of Fukomys damarensis (Damara mole-rat), 512 nucleotides long. RefSeq lists it as uncharacterized. NCBI's taxonomy places the organism in Eukaryota, Metazoa, Chordata, Mammalia, Rodentia, Bathyergidae. The transcript is spliced from 4 exons. The record is from RefSeq and is a predicted model, not a curated record.
CUGAAAUGCAAGAAGAGCCUUCCUCUGCAGGACUUCCUGCAUCCCUCGCAAAGAAGCUAAGGAAAAGGUUCAGUUACCCAGACCAAAGACUGGGGCCAGAGCAGGGGCAAAGCGAGGUUGGGCAAAUCAUCUCAAGACCUUGCCCUCACACCUGCCAGUGCACAACAGACAGACAUCAUACCAGCAGAUUCCACUGAGAAAAUGUGCACCUGUAAACACAUCCACCAGGAGGCCUAUUGCACAAUUCAUUAGAGGCAAAAAUAAUAAGAUUUGUUCCUUCAAAAGCAUAUGAAUGUAGAUGUUACUGAAGCUGGGUGAUCGUACAUGGAGUUCAUAAUACUCUUGACUGCUGAGGAAUGAACAGGGCAGGAAGGACGGCAGGAGUCACUGCUGGAAACUGGCACGUUCCACACUGGUCCAGUCCACUCCUCCACCCACGCCCAGUCCUGCCCACACCGCCUGCCCUUACAGCCCCAACCUCUCAAAACCCAUGGACCACAGAGAGCUGUGCU